Non-coding RNA from Paramuricea clavata, 789 nucleotides. NCBI's taxonomy places the organism in Eukaryota, Metazoa, Cnidaria, Anthozoa, Malacalcyonacea, Plexauridae. The record is from the annotation of a GenBank genome assembly.
GGUGGUGCAUUUUCCCUUGCAUAAUACAAUUUAAUACAAAAUUUGCAAAUUUCGUAGGGCUAUAUUUUGUUCUUCUUGCCUAGAUCAAAAUUUAGUCUAUAGGCAGCUGGAAUCAUCUAUUCUGUUGACCAAAUUAUAUAUGCACAAAUUUUCUCAUAGGUUUUAUUUUGUAGGUUCCAUUCGUUUCAAAAUACCAUGAUUGGAAUUUUCGUGUACAUCAUCAGUCAAUAUAAUUUAUUAUAUUAAUCACAAUAAUUCUACUUAAUAUCGAGAUUUCAAUUUCUAAACUAACCUAAUCUAAUCGUCAUCAAACGUUGGGGACCAUCUGUCUAGAGCGUCCAAUGAUUGUUCAGCAAGUUUAGUUGCUUGGACGUCGUUUGCAAGCGAGUCGUCAAAUGCUGCGUUGGAGGAAGACUUACUGCUUUCACCAUCAGCAAAAUCUACAAUAAAUUACCAAAUAUGAAAUUAGUUUUGCUUCAAGUAUAUAGCUACUGCAUGCAUACAUGGGUGUUAUUAUAGACUUAUUUGGAGGCUGUGACUUUGCAUUCAAAUACGACACUAAAAGGAAAAGUCAAAUGGCGAGUUUUUGUUCAUCCGAUGUUUAAUUACAUGACAAAAUUACAGAAUUCUGAUUGGUUGAGAGGAGUGCAAUGAUUUUAGUACUCUACACUAGUGCUAGGUCGGAAGUCUUCACAGGUAUGUGAUUCAGAAGGGAUCAAAUUAUUUAUGCAAUAUGAAAUAAGAUCUUCGAUAAAAAUAUCAUUUUCAAGGUUGAACGUCAACUACAAC